RNA transcript from Ziziphus jujuba (common jujube), 3549 nucleotides. It is a transcript of the gene named E3 SUMO-protein ligase SIZ1, with no coding region annotated. The record is from RefSeq and is a predicted model, not a curated record. The transcript has 18 exons. Lineage: Eukaryota; Viridiplantae; Streptophyta; Magnoliopsida; Rosales; Rhamnaceae.
GCAUGGCAUACAACUUACACGUGAGCGCACCGAAACCAAACCCGGACAUGUCCCCCGUCAAAAAGCUCGAUUGGAUAAUCGGCGAUAGGUCCGAACUUUGUAACAGGGAGGGGGAUUGGUUCCGGUUGGGUCUUUGGUCAAAAAGAAACGCAAAAGCGUGAGAACAGGGAAAGAGUGUAGGAAGUCGGCGUGAGAGCGAAAACCCAAAACACAAACCCUAUUCCUUCACUCCGUCUCUCCAAUUCCUUCACGCACGUAAGCUACUACUAUCAAUUGGAAAUUUCCAAGAGUCUUUCCUUCUGCCUAAUCUAGGGUUUAUGUGCAUACGAUUGUCGGUUUUUCAAUUAGAUCGAUCCCUGUUUGGAGAGGCUAUGCUUUGGUUUCAUUGGUUUGUUCGUUGAUUAAAUUAUUGUUCCAGCAGCAGAAUCUGCACUGUUUGGGGAUUAAUUUGUGGAGUCAAAUUAUGGAUUUGGUAACUAGUUGCAAGGAGAAGUUGGCAUAUUUUCGAAUAAAAGAACUUAAGGAUGUUCUCACUCAAUUAGGUCUUUCAAAGCAGGGGAAGAAACAGGAUCUUGUUGAUCGAAUAUUAGCUAUUCUUUCUGAUGAACAAGUUUCUAAAAUGUGGGCAAAGAAGAAUGCUGUUGGAAAGGAACAGGUUGCAAAAUUAGUAGAUGACACCUAUAGAAAAAUGCAGGUGUCUGGGGCUACUGAUUUAGCAUCAAAGGGACAGUGUGUUUCAGAUAGCAGUAAUGUGAAAAUUAAAGGUGAAAUUGAUGACUCCUUUCUGCCAGAUACCAAGAUUCGCUGUCUUUGUGGGAAUUCAUUGGAAACAGAGUCAAUGAUCAAGUGUGAGGAUUCAAGAUGCCAUGUUUGGCAGCACAUUAGUUGUGUCAUAAUUCCGGAGAAACCUAUGGAAGGCAAUGCACCGGUUCCGGAAGUAUUUUAUUGUGAAAUUUGUCGACUCAGUCGGGCUGACCCUUUUUGGGUAACAGUAGCACAUCCUUUGUCUCCUGUGAAGUUGGUCACUACGAAUAUGCCAACUGAUGGCACGAAUCCAGUUCAGAGUGUGGAGAAAACAUUUCAACUCAAUAGGGCAGACAAGGAUUUAUUAUCAAAACAGGAGCAUGAUGUUCAGGCUUGGUGCAUGCUUUUAAAUGACAAAGUUCCAUUCAGGAUGCAGUGGCCACAGUAUGCGGACUUACAGGUCAACGGUAUGCCUGUACGUGCAAUUAAUAGACCAGGCUCUCAACUUCUUGGUGCUAAUGGUCGUGAUGAUGGUCCAAUUAUCACAGCAUACACUAAAGAUGGAUUUAAUAAGAUCUCCUUAACUGGAUGUGAUGCUCGCAUUUUCUGUUUAGGGGUUCGAAUUGUGAAGCGCCGAACUGUUCAACAGAUACUUAACUCAAUUCCUAAGGAGACUGAUGGUGAGCGUUUUGAAGAUGCUCUUGCUCGUGUUCGUCGUUGCGUUGGUGGUGGAACAACAACUGACAAUGCUGAUAGUGACAGUGACUUGGAAGUUGUUGCCGAUUCUUUUGUUGUCAAUCUACGUUGUCCGAUGAGUGGUUCAAGAAUGAAGGUAUCUGGAAGGUUCAAACCUUGUGUUCACAUGGGCUGUUUUGAUCUUGAAGUUUUUGUGGAAAUGAAUCAACGUUCAAGAAAGUGGCAGUGCCCUAUUUGUCUCAAGAACUAUUCCUUGGAGAAUGUCAUUAUUGACCCAUAUUUCAACUGCAUCACCUCAAUGAUGAGGCAUUGUGCAGAGGAUGUAACAGAGAUUGAGGUGAAGCCUGAUGGUUCUUGGCGAGUAAAGGCUAAAAGUGAAAUUGAACGGAAGGAGCUUGGAGUUGUUGGUCAAUGGCAUUUUCCAGAUGGUACGCUUUGUGUCUCUAAUGAUGGAGAAGAAAAACUAAAAGCAGACUUGUUGAAGCAGGUCAAACAGGAAGGUGUUUCAGAAGGUCAUACUGGCUUGAAACUUGGAAUCAGGAAGAAUCGGAAUGGGUUUUGGGAGGUUAGCAAACCUGAUGAUAUGAUCACAUCUUCCGGUAACAUACUACCACAGAACUUUGGAAAUCAUGAGCAAAGGGUUAUCCCAAUGAGCAGCAGUGCAACCGGAAGUGGUAGGGAUGAUGAAGAUCCAAGUGUAAAUCAGGAUGGAGGUGGGAAUUUUGAUUUCUCCACCAACAAUGGAGUUGAGAUGGAAACUAUUUCUCUUAAUGUUGAUUCUGCAUUUGGAGUUGCUGACCAAAACCCUUCUGCACCAGUAGGGGAUGCAGAAGUUAUUGUACUUAGUGAUUCUGAUGAAGACAAUGACAUCUUCAUUUCUUCUGGAUCUGUGUACAGAAAUCAUCGAACUGAUGGUGGUGGGGUUAAUUUUUCAGUGCCACCUCCUGUUAUGACGGAUUCGUACCCAGAUGAUCCUACUCUUGUUACUAGUGGGAGCCCGUGCUUAGGUCUUUUUAAUGGCAAUGAUGAUGAAUUUGGGAUGCCAUUGUGGCAUUUACCUCCUGCAAAUCAAGCAGGCCCAGGUUUCCAAUUGUUUGGUUCUGAUGCAGAUGUUUCGGACGCUCUAGUUGAACUGCAACAUGGUACAAUCAAUUGUUCCACAUCCAUGAAUGGCUACACAUUGGCUCCAGACCCUACCAUGGGAACUGCUACUCUAGCCCCAAAUUCUUCUGUUGGUCGUUCAGAUACUGAUAUAAAUGAUGGCUUAUUAGAUAAUCCCUUGCCAUUUGCUGGGGAUGAUCCCGCUCUUCAGAUAUUUCUUCCCACAAGGCCUUCAGAUGUAUCUAUGCAGUCUCACUUUAGAGAUCAGGCUGAUAUGUCAAAUGGUGGUGUCCGUACUGAGGAUUGGAUAUCUCUUCGGCUUGGUGAUGGUGCCAGUGGCAGUGGCAGUAAUGGUGAGUCAGUAACUCCAAAUGGAUUGAAUUCGAAGCAGCAAGUUUCAUCCCGAGAAGGUGUCAUAGAUUCCUUGCCUGAUCCUGCCUCUUUGCUUCUUGGUAUGAAUGAUGCUAGAUCUGACAAGGCUAGUAGACAGAGAUCAGAUAGUCCUUUCUCAUUUCCUCGACAAAAACGUUCUGUAAGGCCAAGAUUGUAUCUAUCAAUUGACUCAGACUCUGAAUAGAGUAUGUCACCUUGUUUGCCAAGAGCAAUUCUUGGUCUGUUUGAUUAUUUAUGAGGAAGCUUGAUAUAGAGAAAUCUAAAUCUGCCCGUUUACAAGUUUGAAUUCUGUUUUCAAACAAAUGAAAGGGUUGCCGUACACUUUCUGUCAUGGUGCAAUGGAGUCCUUGGUGGAACAAAAUUGGCCAGAGAAGGAAAAAGUCAACUGCACUGGCACCUGCAAGGUUUAUUGUUUGAAUCGAUAUGCAGGUCCAAUGUUGGUAUGGUAAGGAUUUAAAUCCAUCGGUUCAAACCUUUGGAUUUGGUGGGGGAACCCCACCAAGUAAUACAAAUAUCCUCUUUUUUUGCCUCAUUUUUAUGGUGAGAUCAAAUAGCCUGUAAAUUGACACUCAGUUUAGUUAUAUAUAGAAAAUGUUAUUAUUUUUGAAAUGGUUA